GAUGAAGCUGCUGUCACCACGCUUGUCCCUUUCUGUGUUGGAGUCUGGCUGAAGAAUCCAAUGAGCUGGGGUGUUUGAGGCUGUCUGCAGAGUAGCAUCCCAGAUGGUGGGUCUGGUGACUGGGCCUUUCAUCUGCUCAUCCCAUUGUCUGUUGUGUUUGUCUGCAUUUUCUUUUAACAUCUCAUGCCUUGAUUUUAUAUUGUUUUUGUGGAGAAACCAAGUCUGUGAGCGCCCUGUGCCAGAGCCUGUCCCUGUUCUCACCCCGGUGCGGCCUAGUCAUCAGUAGCACUCAAUUUGUUUGUAGAGGUGCAUUUGGUUAUUUCUACAGCUGAUGGAAAUUAGUUUCAUUGUUUUGUAUGCUUACUAUAUUUUAACUAAAUGUUAACCUUGGGGAAUCCUUUUGCCUCAGUCUGACUUCAGUCACCUGUUUAUCUGUGGUUGUUGGAUAAUUUAUGAGAAUGUUUAGCCCUGUGCUACCGGUGGUUACAAAUGUUUUUCUUCCAGUUGCUCAUCUUCUCAUGAUUUGAUCUACACACUAUGCAUCAGCUAAAACUAAUGCAUUCUAAUACAACAGCCCUCCAACUAUUUCUCCCUCCUUCUCUUAGAUCAGGGAAGUCGACAGCCCAUAUAGAAAUUGGCCAAUGCUACCCCUAGAGUGGAUUUACUCGCAUGAUGAACUUUACUUAUUGCUUGUGAUCUCCUCUCAGACUGCUAUGGCUGGUUCCACACCUGCAGAAUCAAGGUGAACAUUGGAAAACUAACACUUCCAAAUGCUUGCCAGAGUCACUAGAUAUCUUCACUGCAAGAUGAAGACAACCUUUAGGUUAAAGGGCAACAUCUGACUUCAUUUCAUGGAUCAAGAUUUUGGCAAUUGCUUAAAUUCUACCACUGCAUUUCAGGGACAAGUAGGAGGCCAAACAGGUUAGUUGAUGUCUAAAAUGUUUGACCUCCCUUUGUGGAAUGCCUGUGAGAAAUUGAGUAACUUAUCAGUUGCAGAUAAUUUCAUUUUUGUUCAAUAUUCUAUUGUCAUUUACUAAUUUGAGUUGGUUCAAUAUGCGAUGGGCAAGAAACCUGGUGGCGACCGUGGUGCCAUGAAUACAAAAAGGUAUGACUGACUUGAGUUAACCACACUACCACAGACACAGCUCAUAAAUCUAACAAAGCAUUUUUCAUAAUGUUUUAACUGUUUGAAUUGCUUGGUGAUUGUGAUGUUCUAUAGUGUAAGUGACAAUGUGUAAAAUGCACUGUAAAUACACAUUUCUGUGACCGUAAUUAAAACUCAUUUUAAAAUCA
Molecule: non-coding RNA, 1293 nt
Organism: Gasterosteus aculeatus aculeatus (three-spined stickleback)
Lineage: Eukaryota; Metazoa; Chordata; Actinopteri; Perciformes; Gasterosteidae
Source: RefSeq, a predicted model, not a curated record